UGGGGAAUUUUGGACAAUGGGCGCAAGCCUGAUCCAGCCAUGCCGCGUGCGGGAAGAAGGCCUUCGGGUUGUAAACCGCUUUUGUCAGGGAAGAAAUCUUCUGAGUUAAUACCUCGGGAGGAUGACGGUACCUGAAGAAUAAGCACCGGCUAACUACGUGCCAGCAGCCGCGGUAAUACGUAGGGUGCAAGCGUUAAUCGGAAUUACUGGGCGUAAAGCGUGCGCAGGCGGUUUUGUAAGACAGAGGUGAAAUCCCCGGGCUCAACCUGGGAACUGCCUUUGUGACUGCAUGGCUUGAGUGCGGCAGAGGGGGCAUGGAAUUCCGCGUGUAGCAGUGAAAUGCGUAGAUAUGCGGAGGAAACACCGAUGGCGAAGGCAAUCCCCUGGGCCUGCACUGACGCUCAUGCACGAAAGCGUGGGGAGCAAAACAGGAUUAGAUAGCCCUGGUAGUCCACGCCCUAAACGAUGUCAACUGGUUGUUGGGAAGGUUCCUUCUCAGUAACGUAGCUAACGCGUGAAGUUGACCGCCU
This 530-nucleotide ribosomal RNA is filed under the name uncultured bacterium. RNAcentral's name for it is "partial 16S ribosomal RNA". It matches the Rfam family "Bacterial small subunit ribosomal RNA", at positions 355 to 874 of the family's 1533-position model. The record is from RNAcentral.